Long non-coding RNA from Bos taurus (domestic cattle), 1894 nucleotides. NCBI's taxonomy places the organism in Eukaryota, Metazoa, Chordata, Mammalia, Artiodactyla, Bovidae. The record is from Ensembl.
AUAAAACAGUCUGCACAGCCUAUCACAGCCAUAACUCAUCUGGGUCAGCUCUGGUUUCUGUAAGGCAUUUGACUUUUUUUGUUUGUUUGUUUGUUUUUGCUUUAAAAAUUUUUUUAUUGGAGUGUACUUUGGCCACCUCAUGCGAAGAGUUGACUGAUUGGAAAAGACUCUGAUGCUGGGAGGGAUUGGGGGCAGGAGGAGAAGGGGAUGACAGAGGAUGAGACGGCUGGAUGGCAUCACCGACUCGAUGGAGACCUCUCCCAGGUGCUGUGUUUCAAGGCUCUGAGGACCAAGCAGAGAAGCUGAAGCUAGGCUGACUCUUUGCAGUUGACUUUGGAGUCUUCUACCGCUGGGAGCCUCCUCAAGUACAGACAGAUGCUGUAGUAGUCAUGUAUGGAUGUGAGAAUUGGACCAAAAAGAAAGCUGAGUGCCAGAGAAUUGAUGGCUUUUGAACUGUGGUGUUGGAGAAGACUCUUGAGAGUCCCUUGGACAGCAAGGAGAUCAAACCUAAAGGAAGUCCAUCCUAAAGGAAGCCAGUCCUGAAUAUUCAUUGGAAGGACUGAUGGUGAAGCUGAAGCUCCAAUACUUUGGCCACCUGAUGCGAAGAACUGACUCAUUAGAAAGACCCUGAUGCUGGGAAAGAUUGAAGGUGGGAGGAGAAGGGGAUGACAGAGGAUGAGAUGGUUGGAUGACAUUACCAACUUGAUGGACAUGAGUUUGAGCAAGCUCUGGGAAUUGGUGAUGAACAGGGAAGCCUGGUAUGCUGCAGUCCACGGGGUUGCAAAGAGUCAGACACGACUGAAUGACUGAACUGAACACCUCUUUCACAGAGAUUCACAGCAACCACUGGCAUUUUCCCCCUCAGCUUUAUAGAGGUACAAUUAACAAUUACAAAUUGUACAUAUUUAAGUUUAAAAUGUGGUAUUUUCAUUUAUGUGUAUAUUGUGAAAUGAUUUCCACACUCAAGCUAAUUGACAUAUCCAUCACUUUGCAUCAUCAUCUCUUUCUAUGUGAUGAAGAUCCAAGAUUUCAAGUGUAUAAUAUGGUAAUAUUAACUAUAGUCACCAUGCUAUAUAUUAAUUCUCCACAGCUUACUCAUCCUGAAUAACUGAAGCUUUGUACCUUUGAACAAGAUCUCCACAUUUUCCCCACCCCAACACCUGGCAACCACCAUUCUGCUUCUUGCUUUAGUAAGUUAAAAUUCUAAGGUAGUGGGGUGAAAGGACAUGCGCACAUCUUUUUUUGAGAGAGCACCAAAAUCGCAACUAGCUGCUGAACAAUCAUUGACAGGAGAAUGCUGGAACCCACCAAAAAAAGAUACCCCACAUCCAAAGACAAAGAAGAAGCCACAGUGAGACAGUGGGAGGGGUGAAAUCACAAUAAAAUCAAAUCCAAUACCUGCCAGGUAGGUGACCCACAAAUUGGAGAACAGUAAAACCAAGGAAGUUCUCCUACUGUUAUGAAGGUUCUGAACACUACAUCAGGCUUCCCAUCCUGAGGAGCUGGCAAAGGGACUGGGAAUCCCCACGGCAUCUGACCUUGAAGACCAGCAGGAUUUGAUUAGAGGACUUCCACAGUACUGGGGAAAACAGACUCCAGUCUUGGAGGGCACAGAUAAAAUCUGCACACAUCAAGAAACCCAGAGGAAAGGAGCAGUGACCCCACAGGAGACUGAACCAAAACGACCUGCUAGUGCUGGAGGGUCUCCCGUGGAGGUGCGGGUCUGCAGGGGCUCACCGCAGGGCCAGCAGUAGCUGUCCAGGAAGGUCCCCCUUGGCAUAAGCCCUCUUGAAACUCUCCCAUAGAGCCUGUAGACCCCAGGACUGGGUUGCCUCAGGCCAAACAACUACCAGGGAGGGAGCACAACCCCACCCAUCAGCAGAUAAUUGGAUUA